This 121-nucleotide ribosomal RNA is filed under the name Lepisosteus oculatus (spotted gar). The record is from RNAcentral. Lineage: Eukaryota; Metazoa; Chordata; Actinopteri; Semionotiformes; Lepisosteidae.
UCUAGCAGCUAUGUCACUCUGCAACUCACAACUAGACUGCCAGUCUGAAGCUCAGCAGGUGGGAGCCUGGUCAGUACCUGGAUGGGAGACCUCCUGGGGAAAACUAAGGACGCUGCUGGAA